UUUAUCAGAAAUGUAUGUGGGUGGAUGAGCUGCUCAAGGCACUUGAAAAACACAGGCAAAUAGUAUAUUAAGGAAGCCCUGGAUCCUUACUCGGUAGCCAGUUCCAGGAACUUGGCCAGAAUCUGGGAUCUCUCACCCCAUUCUCCUGCAACACCUCCUAUGGGCAAUCUACCCAAUACUCUGUGAUGGCCUAUAUGGGAAAAGAAUCUGAAAAAGAAUGGACAUCUGCAUAUCCAUAACUGAUUCAUUUCGUGUACAGUUGAAGCUAACACAACACUGACCUUGAGCACAAAGGAGCUCACAGUGAAGCAGAAGAAUUGCACAGAAAGGAGAGAAGAUGCUGGUGGUGGGUACAUGGGAGCCUUAGUGGAGCCUGCCUGCCAGAAGGCCUGAUGGGAGACUGAGGCUGGAGUUGGCUGCAGUGUCUGACACUAUUUUUGAUUACAAAGUUAUUAAACAUAACUUUCUGUCAUCAAGACACAAGUCUGGUCAAGGGAGAAAAAUAAACAAAGCACACUUCACCUCAGAGUUAUAACAGUCAUUAAGUAAUAGCCCACUGAUUGAUGUGGAGAAAUAACCUAUGUAUCUACUUCUAGACCUUUAUCUCUACCUAGAAAAAUCAAUGAUGAUAGAAAAUAAAUUGAUACUAAAAUAUUAGUAUAUUUAAUAUUGUUAUUAAACAAUUAAAAUGUUAUAAAUGUAUUUUUAAAAUCAAAAGGUAAACUCUCAAUAUAAACUUAAAGUGGACAUAUCCAUCCCUAGUUUUUAAAAAUAUUAACAGUUUUGAAAUAUAAGUACAUUAGUGCUAAAUAUUAAAGUGAUAUCUUUUUACACAUAGCCUCUGAAGGGCAGCAAAUUUGUUUUUGUUUCUCCAGUGCUUGCACAGUGCCUGAUAUACUAUAGGUCAGCCUUUCAAUUUGUUGAAAGGCUGUGAAAUCGCUGGAACCAAGUAAAUUAUUAUUGCCCAAUAAUAUUAUUUAUUAAUAAAAAUACUGUCCAAUAUUUUGUAUAUGUGAUACAUUUCCAGGGUAUUGUACAGUCCCCUUAAUUGAGUGCUGAAAGACAAAGAAUGCAGUGCUUUAGAUACAAGAGAUGUUAUAUCUACUCAUAUAAUGAUAUUAAAAAAGCACAACACUAGCCUUUUAAUUUUAUAACUCCUUGUUUUCAUUUCACAGCUAUGUGAAAUAGAGCACAGUAACAUUGCAAUUUUGGAAAAAUGACCUAGACAGCAAGACAAAUUUCCCAGAAGGGAGAUAUUUGGCGUCAGUGAAAGGGAAUUGUUUAACAAACCAGUCAGAAUAACUGCAACUAAACAUCCAUUAUAUGAUGUUAGACUAGCCUAGGGAAUCAAUUGAUAUUUUAAUUGAGUUUGUUGAUGAAAAUUUCCUUCUUUAGGAAAAUAAAAACAUUUGAUACUUCUUACAUACCUAGAAAAAUUGAUAAUAGUAUAUUGGGGUAUAUUGGUGUUUUUUUAAAUUAUGAUUAAUGCAAUGUGUCUAGAUUUAUUUUUUCCAAGAUUUUUCCAUCUGUUGGUGCCAUCAACUCUUGAACAAAUUGGGGGAUUGUUGUAUUAUCUUGUUUCAUGAACAAUACGGCAAAGAUAACAUUUAACUCCUUUCAUUUCUCUGUGCUAAGACUCUUCACUGUAAACUUUUUACUUUCACGGAAAAUCAAGAGGAAAUUUUAUACCACUUCAAUCACACGUUUCUUUUUUUCCCCCUUUCUUCAAGCUUAAAAUGUGCACCAAAUACAAUAUGCUCAUAUGUAAAAUUCUAAACAAAUAUUUAAUGAAGAAUUACACGUGCAAGUCAUCAUAUCAGAAGAAAUAAAUGACAAUGUGAUAUAAAACACAGUCCUUUUCCUACUCAUUGUUUACAUUUGGUCAACCAGACCUAUAAAAAUAAUUCAAACAAUAAAUGCUAAUAUUGCUCCCUAUCCCCAGAAACUAAUCUCCAUGUUCUGAUGCCAAUGCCAGUGAGUGUGAAUCACUAUCAUCAGGUCCCUAAGAAGAAAAAUGGGUACCACAAAGACUCCUUCCUCUCCUUAAUCCUAAAUAUAUAAAUGCCCUAGAUUCUGCCAUGUUAAUUUAUCUUUAACUGACUCCUCCUUCUUCCUUCAUCUUUCACAUUGGCAGAAACGGUUUGUUGCCCCAAAAUUAAACCCUGAUCCCAUUAUAACCCACCAAAAACUUUGCACUUGCCUAGAGAAUAAAUUAUCUUGCUUCUUUCUCAUGGCACCUGCUAGUACCUAGUAUCUUUCAGCCUCAUCAAACUGCUAGAAGUUCUGCAUAUUCUGCUGUUUUGAUCACUGUGCUCUGAUAGAUCAAACAUCUGUAUGACAUUAAUCCUUGCACUCAGUCAUUUUUUUUCCAGCAAAUAUUUACUGAAGACCUAGUAGCUGCUCUAGAUUCAGAUCUGGGAUAAAAAAAAAAAAAUCACCUAAAUAUGUAAAUCUUAAGGAGAUCAGAGUGAAGCCAAGAGUAAAAUUAAUCAGACAGUCAUGCUCUUUUCAUGACCUCAACUCCUGCCCACUCCUAGCUCCUCACUUUGCUGCAGCCUUCUAACCUCUUUGUUGACCAAACAGCUCAAGCUGGCUCUCACUUCAGGGUCUUGACACAUUGUUCCUUUUGCUUGAAAUACUCUUCUUCUGGGGAGUGCGUUGUCUAGCUCCCUUAUCUUAUUUGGGUCUCUGUUCAAAUAUCUUCUAAUAAUAUUUUCCAGGGUAAAAAGUGAUCUGUUCCUUUGUCACUUUUUUUUCCUUCAAAAUAUGUAUCGCUAUAGAUAUUAUAUAUGUAUAACUGUUGGUUUUUCAAUGCAGGUUCUCUUCUAUUAGUCUGCUGCUGUUUCCUCAAACCUUAAAAUAGCGUCUUGUGUAGUGGUUAUAUAUUUGGUAUAAAUUCAUUAUAUAUAUAUUUAAUUAUACAUUGAAUGUUACACUAGGAUGAUAGGGUGAGAUGAUAUAUAAAUUAACAAUGGAAGAUUAGUACAGUUCUCUAAGAGAUGGGAAUUUCCUUUUGCAUAUUAAUGAGGAAUAGGGUAUUUAGAUAGACUAUCUCUUUUUACUGCAAAAAGGCCACUUGUAGUUCAUUUAGGUAAAAGAAUGACAUAGAAAAUAUAUUAAAAAAAUCCAUCACAAAACUGUUCAAGACAUACUUUGUUAUUCAAUAUUUAGUGCAAAUGCUUUUCCGAACAUAAAAAUAAAGUAAAAUUGUGCACGAUGUGGAAAUUUCUGUCAUUUAUAGUCAAUUAUUGAGGAAACAUUUCUUAUUUUCCAAAUUUCCACUGUUAACUCCUUGACUAAAAAAUAGAAAAGAGAAAUGAAAAUAGGUUAUCUUCUUUCCCACAUAAAAGCUAUUUCUAUUGCAAAGCAUAAAACCAGAAAAUAAUCUGUGAGGGACUGGCUAUUCCUUGACAUUUCAUGAAUUAAACACACAAGUCUUGAGAGAUUUUAACUACUUAUGUGUUGAAGAAAGAUGCAUUAUUUUUUUUCUUUGGGAAGAGAUGAAGAAGAUGAUAAUGGAUCAAAAGUUAACCUAAUAAUCUUAAUUUGGGACAAAAAUGGCAAAAUAAAUAUGAAGACAAGCAGAAAAUUGAGAGAACACUGUAAGCCAAUUAUAAUGGAAAAAAUAAAAAUCAUAAAAAAUUAAAAAUAUUUUUAAAAAGAAGGAUGGUGGAAAUGAAAAAGAUGGGAAAAAAUGAAAAACAAGUAGGGGCACAAAGCAGGAGAAAUGCUGAGUUCUGAGUCUGAUGUGAGGCAUUGAUGGAGACUAAAGCCUCAUUCAGCAGAUUAGGAGAUAGGCAGCAAGAGUUAUCUUCUUAUAGCCAUAAAUGAUUAUUUUGCCCCUAGUUGGCAAAAUGAAAUAUCAACAAAAUAAAAAUUCUAACAACUAUCCCCAUACAUAGAACUUUGUACAGGGUUGUUCACUUUUUAGUUAGUAUACGCCAUGACAUCUUCCAAGUUAACAUCAGUCCUGGUGAUUAUUUAAUUUUACAUGAGUUUUAUACAAUAUUCAGAGAUUCUAAAUCAGUUAGAAAGCAUCAAUCAUUCUUACCUAAACUAAAUUCAUAUGGAAAAUCAAGAUAAAGUAUUUUCUUAAAGGAACAUGACUUAAUCUGUAUCAUUAGUUCUUGUUAUUAGAACAUUUCUAAUAACUUCUCGUAUAACUGUCAUUCUAUUUUCCUAGUCUCACCUAGAAUUGGGAACAUGCAUUUCAUGAGACAAUACUUGCUUUUUUGGUUGCUGUUAUACAACAUGUCUCAAAUCACAGUACUACUUGCAAAUGGAUUUAAUGAGCAUAAAAAUGUUCCCACCAGCCAAAACCCAAAAUGUCAUCAUUUCCAUAUUCUCCUUCCUAUUAGGAUUAUAGUCACAACAGAAAAAUUGAAAAAGGCAACAAACUUCCUGCUAUUUAUGUGACAGUGUAAUUGACAAUUACCUUGAUGGAGUUAAUUUAUGAUGUAAUGCUCAAUGAUAUUUAAUAUACCCCAGCAAAAGCUCAGAAUAAAAUAUUUUCUACAAUCCACAUGGCAUCUUAUACAGUCAAACUAAUGGAGCCAACAUGACUAUAUAACAUCAUGAUCAUCUAUCAUUAUUGUCCUUAUGACUCUGGUCAAUCAAACUUACCAGGUAUGAAAAAACAAACUCUAAAGCUAUAAUGAACUUCAGAUUUCACUUUGUUCACACAUAUUUCAAGAAAAGCAUAUAACAAUGAUAUCACAUUUUAAAAUAAAAGCUAUAAUAUGACUGAAGCAACAAAACAAAUCUUUAAGAUGUGUCUCACAAUUUGUCAAAAUGAUGCCCUGAAAAAUUGAAAACCAUGGCACACUCCCCAAGCUGCAAUCAUAAUCACAUAGCAUUAAUAUUUGUUCUCUGGUCUUCUCCCUUUCUAGAGUAUCUUCAUUUUCACCUCUCAAGCUAAAAAUCACAUGCCCCUCCUCAGUGCUUCUCUUCAGAACCUCCAUCACAUUCACUACAUGCUGCUUUGAGUGGUAUUCACUGGGGUAUGUUUACAAUCCUUUACUGUCCGAUUAGUUUCUCACACUAGACUGUAAAGUCCUUCAGGGCCAGGACCUGGUUUAAUUUGAAAUACUUGUGGAGGUAAUAUUUGUUGUGUACCAAAGGCUGAAUCCCUAUGCAUAAUUUCUUGAUAGCAGAGUCCUGAUUAUAUUCUAGAUGCACUUCUAUAUACUAUGUAGUCCAGAAAGGGGUAAUAUUUUUUCCCGGUCCAGAGAGUGUCUUAUCACUAUAUUCUCUUCUCUUUCCAGUAAUUGGUUUAGGCAGAAUUGUUAGGCAUAACACUGCCUGAUGAGGAGCCAAGGGAAGCCUUUUAGGUGAUUCCUGGAAUAGGAUUUCUAAGCCUUAAAAAAAAAAAAAAUCAAGAAGGAGUUAACCAAUCUCCUUCUUUAGAGACUUAGGAGUCUGUAUGUGAUAUCUAUAACUGGAAAUGAUUUAGCAACCAUAAAGGAAAUUUGCCUGAGACACCAAGCAUAGGAAAAAAACAAAACAAAACAAACAAACAAACAAAACACCCCAGCUUCUUGCUUAAAUCAUUUAGCUGCUGAGCCACCAUCCCUGGAAUCAUGUGUCUUCCUGGUAUGAAAGUUAAUUGAUUAAAAAAAAAAAAAAA
This 5626-nucleotide long non-coding RNA is filed under the name Sus scrofa (pig). RNAcentral describes it as "lncRNA (ENSSSCG00030036798.1)". Lineage: Eukaryota; Metazoa; Chordata; Mammalia; Artiodactyla; Suidae. The record is from RNAcentral.